CAGUGGGGAAUAUUGGACAAUGGGCGAAAGCCUGAUCCAGCAAUGCCGCGUGUGUGAAGAAGGCCCUCGGGUUGUAAAGCACUUUUAUCAGGAACGAAAUACCACGGGUUAAUAACCUAUGGGGCUGACGGUACCUGAGGAAUAAGCACCGGCUAACUUCGUGCCAGCAGCCGCGGUAAUACGAAGGGUGCAAGCGUUAAUCGGAAUUACUGGGCGUAAAGGGUGCGUAGGCGGUUGUUUAAGUCUGUCGUGAAAUCCCCGGGCUCAACCUGGGAAUGGCGAUGGAUACUGGGCAGCUAGAGUGUGUCAGAGGAUGGUGGAAUUCCCGGUGUAGCGGUGAAAUGCGUAGAGAUCGGGAGGAACAUCAGUGGCGAAGGCGGCCAUCUGGGACAACACUGACGCUGAAGCACGAAAGCGUGGGGAGCAAACAGGAUUAGA
Molecule: ribosomal RNA, 438 nt
Filed under: uncultured bacterium
Lineage: Bacteria
Description: bacterial SSU rRNA
Rfam family: Bacterial small subunit ribosomal RNA
Source: RNAcentral